GACCCUUCCAAUCCUCAAGCAUCCAUGAGCUCACCUACUCUCUUGGAUACAUCCCAAAGGGCUUCAGAGAAGAGGAACUUGGGGAAGGAAUGUACCUUCCAUAAGAGCUAUGUCACCACACAAGGGGAAAAUUGGGCCAGCACACACACUCACACACACACAAGGUAGAUGUGGCCCCAUUCUACAAUUAAGAUGAGAGGUUUCUGUCUUCGAGACCAUAGAGAGGUGCUGCCCUAUGAGAACACCAAGGCCCUGAGAGGCGAAGCCAUUUGCUUAAAGCUGCACAGCCAGAGAAUGGCAAAGCCAGAACUGGAAUUCAAACCUCCUGACUUCCAUCCCCAGUUUCCCUGCCACCGCCUCCUUAUUUACACAGGCUUUCAAAAUCAUUAGGGCACAGAAUUAGCUCAGCACUAAGCUUUCGAAAUCCACAUGAUCCCUCCCACUGGUCCUCCUGAGGACAAAAUCACUCAGGGAGAAAUAUGUAUUAAGUCUUUUGAAAUGGCAGAGAAGGGUGUUCCCUCAGAUAAGAGCUCCUAAGAACACUAGAGCUGAAAUACUGAUUGGAUCAGCAGAUCAUCUGGGCCCCACCUCUUGUGCAAUUUUUGUCUUUUUUGGUAUUCAGAUGGUCCAAGGGUCAGGCUUCUGAGCCGAUGUUCUCUGACAAAUGCAUUUCACAUGCCUGUGCAGCCCUGACCGAGGAGUGACAGUCCUGGAUCAGCCCUCCCCAGAGGUUCGGAGAAAUAGGUUAAUCCAGUCCGCAAUCAAAUCUAUUAGGAAGGGCCCCACCAAACAAGUCUGUGAAUUCCAAACAGCAGCUCCCUUCACACUGCCCUCCCCACGUAGGUCACUGGCCUGGCUGGAUGACAGAUACUGGAACCCCAGAAUGUCAGUGCUGGGCGGCGGCUCGGACAUGUUCUGAUGAAACUCCAUACCUCUCAGCUGUGGGAACUGAGGCCCAGGAAGAAGAAGGGACUUGUCCGAGGUCACACUGUGGUCUCAAAAGGUGCUAUGCUAAUUAUUAGAUGUGAAGUGGUGAACAAGGCGGGAUAGGCUUUGCCCACAAACAGCUCAGAGUGGAGGAGAUACCUAACAACUGAAAUCACAAGCAAACCAACAAAAACACAACACAAAUCAAAAAACAUCAGAUGUAUACCCUCAGCUCACAGCACAGAAGCUAAGAUGCCUUACAAACCCAGUAAACCUCUGCAGUGAAAUCUAAGAAGUUCCCGCAGAUACUGGAUGGACAGAGAAGACAACCAAUGCCAAGAAAUUAUUUCAAAUACUUUCCCAAGACCUUGCUUGCCCCGUGCCUGACAAUACCUAUGCAAGUCUCCUACCGCCUCUAGAUCCUGUGUUGAAGCAAUUUUGGCAUGGGAAGAUUGGCUCCGAUUUUAAAAAGAAUACUUCCUGAGAAACGAUAACGUACCAGAUUCUGUUCUGGGCGCUGUGAUGGCUACAAAAACACUAGGCCCACUGCUCGUAAGUUCCUGUAGCCCCUGCAUAAAAGUGAUCAAUAUGUUUGCUGAAUAAGGACAUGGCCCUAAAAGGAGAGAUGAGAAGACCAGCAUCUGUUGAACACCUGUCACAUACCAGGACCUUAUUAGGCACCUAGGUACAAAGGUGAGCAAGAUACAAUCCUGUAAAAAAAAACUGAGACCUGGUGGAGACAAGUCUGUUCACAAAAAAAUGUAAUAUCACUUGGUAAGUGCUGAGAGAAUGCUGUGUGUACGCAGCAGGGUGGUACUCAGCCCAGCCUGGGAUUUAGGGAAACCUUCCUAGAAGAAAUGAUGUCUGCACUGAGUCAUGAAAAAUAGGAAUGAGUUAGCAGAAAGGAUAUCCUAGACAACAACGAGAGGCAUGAAAAGGCAUGUAAUUUCCUGGGAACUGCAGGCAACUGGGCAUGACUAAAAUGUCAAGGAAAAGGUAGGAAGAGGCAGAGGAUGAGGCAGCAGACACAGUCAGGGCUGGGCACUGGAGGAAGCCACCAGGAUCCUGCUGCCCUGCUGCGUCUCCUUCAGGGUCUGUGUCUGCUGCAGGGAGUUCCUGGCCUGGCCUGAGUCCCCUACAGCCACUGAGGGAGGCAGUGCCCUGAGGACAUGGCCAUUUUGCCCCUCUGUGGGUGACACUGAAGGACAAUACUCACUCCUCACUGGGUUGUCUGGGGGUUUGUCGGGCCUGCUUCAACUUCUUCAUCUGUCCAGUUCUGUGUCCUCCCCAAUCCAUUCACAGGUAUUGAUUUGUAUAAACAUUUUUCACCCAAGCCCCAUCUUCAUAUCCACUUCCGUGCACCAGCCUUGGAUGCCAACCCAGGGGUUGGGAUGUGUUUUGUCACUAACAAUGUUCACUUAUUAUUCCUUUGCAACACAGGCACUCCAGAUGUGGUUUGCCUAGAUUCUAACAUUCUUCAGUAUAUAGUGGUUACCUAGGCCAUGGACUGGGAAUAAUUUCCAGGAAACUGGCUAUAACCAGUUAUACAGAAUAUUCUUCUACUCCUUUCCCACUUUUAGGUGAGAAUUUGUCUUCCUCAUUACCCAUAUCUCUAAGUGGAAGAAUUUCAUCUAGAAAACAUUUGUCACAUCUCUUCCAAUAGCCCUCCUCACAGGAGGAAGAGGGAGUUAUCCAACUAAUCAGUUUAGAAGAAGAGAUUUGAGGUUCCGGAUACCCUCUCUUCUCUCAGGAUGGCCUCCCAAAAGAAAUGAGACCACCAUUUGGUCUGUGCUGAGAGCCAUGCAGAAAGCUUAUUGGGGCCAACGCUGUCCCCUCCAGGAAGACAUUGGUGAACUUGCUUUCCAGGACUGGAUGGGGAACAUUUCCAAGCCCAUUCAGCCCAACAGCUAAGCAACAUCCCCCAAUCUAGGUUGAAUCAGCAAGAAUGAUGACAUUUUGAUCUUUGUUGAUCUGACUUCACUAUCUUACCUGACACUCAAUUUGUUCUGAACUUGGCCAGGGAAGAGACAUGUCAUUUUUCAGGGCCUCUGAAAUAACCUAACACUCGCAGUCCAAAUGCUUACCAUGUCUUAAUGCAUCAAUUUCUCAGUACUCAAGAAUGUCAGUAACUGCUAUUGCAUACAUAAAUGGUUGAAUAAAUUCAUAUUGCCCUAUCUAAAAGAUAUAUUCUCAUCAAUAAGAAUUAGGUCUAUAUAAUUCUAUGAAGGGCUUCACUCAAGCUCAUCAGGAACAACGGGCAGGAGCCAUGGGCACGAGACCAGGGACAGAGUGACUUAAAAACUGCUUUAAACUGCAUGAAAGAAUAUUGCCUUCACAGUAAGCCAGAACAUGUUUAUACAAGGGAGAAGCCAAUGAACUUAACCUUGGAGUAUUUUGCAUUAGGAAUGCAGCUGAACAUUUUGAGUGUGAGGACUACAAGACAUUUCUGAAAAGAUAAAAGGGUCCUUUCCUCUAUAAAAGACAAACAUCUUUCUUGGAUCAUAUACCAGAAGUUAAACAAAGUGGCAGUGUGUCAUGGUUUGAAGGGCCAUAGACCUUGUUCCUGACCUGAUUCACCAAUACCAACUGGCUAAACGACCGUGCUCCCAUCAUUUUAACAUUCUCAGCUUCAGUUUCCACAUCUGUCAAAUGGCUACAAUAACUUACAUGCUGUCACAAGGGGUCUUAGGAAAACCAAGCAUGAUGUAUCAUUAUAGAUCAUGCUAAGUGAUAUCAUUGACUGGUGCUGUGCCCUGAAAACAUUGCUAAGUACUUUUUUCAUACUUGAUCUUUCACCUUAUGCUGCUGAUACCAUUUUUCCUGCUUAACAGAUGAGAAAACUGAGGUGCCAAGAGUUUAAGUAAUUAUCCCAAGUUCUCACAACUAGUAAGGGUGAGCUAGAUCUUGAGCCCAGAUCCCUGUUUAUCUGACCCCAAGGCUGUGCUUUUAACCACUCCGCUCUAUGCCUUAUAUAAUAAAAACAAUAUUGUAGAGUGGGAGGAAUGCUGAGCAUGACAUAUAUUCCUAGCUCUGCCUCAAGUGAGUCAUUGACACUCUCUGGGAUGCCAUGUGUGGAAGAUAAAAUAAUGGCCUCCAAAGAUAUUCACACCCUGAUCUCUGGAGCCUAUAAAUAUGCUAUGAUAUACAUGCCAAAGCAGAAUUUAGUUUGUAGAUGGAUUAGGGCUGCUAGUCAGCUGACUUUAAGAUAGAGUAUCCUAGUUUAUCCCGGUAGGUCCACCUUAAUCAAAAGGGUCCUUAAAACCAGAGGAGGGCAGCAGAAGAGGACAUCACAGUGAUGUGAUAUGAGACAGACUCAUCCUGCAUUGUUCACUUUGAAAAUGGAAAAAGGGGCCAUGAGCCAAGGAAUGCAGGCAGCCUCUAGAAAGAAAGGCAGCCCUGCUAGCAUCUUGAUUUUAGUCCAAUGAGACCCAUAUUGGACUUCUGACAUACAGAGGUACAAGAUAAUAAAUUUGUGUUGCUUCAAGCCAUUAGUUUAUAGUAAUAUGUUGCAACAGUGAUAGAAAGCCAAUACACCAUGCACCUGUUUGUCAAAUGAAGGAAUUGGGGUUGAAGUUGAUUUCUACGGCUUUUGUACCUAUGACAUCCUUUGAGCCUGUACUCUUUACUAAUAAAUGGUUCCUUUUGAAGCAUGGGAAAGAGCAGAGAAAUAAAUGACAAGCAAUAUUUCCUAAAAUAUAAUGGGGCACACAGCCAGAAUCUCAGCCCAUGCCUACCUCCACCCAAACAAAAUGGCUUCUGCUACUCGAGACCUCUCUCCAGGCCCGGAGUCUGUAGCAGACUGGCAGGCUUUGAGCCUAACACCUUUUACUGUUGCAAAGCUGCCUUGUUCAUGCUGUUUGAUGUUGUCCAAAGUGGCUAGUUAUUUUUAAAAAUAUGAGAAAUGGAAAGAAACAUGAAGCACCAAGAGCAAGAGUCAGGGUUCUCUCUCUCUCUCUCUCUCUCUCUCUCUCUCUCUCGCUCUCGCUCUCGCUCUCGCUCUCUCUGUCUCAAACACACACACACAUGCACACGCACGCACACGCACAUGCACACGCACACAUGCGCUCUCUCUCUUUCACCCAACCUUAUCCCACAGCUGAUCCACAUUCUGGCUGUAUUCCAAAACACAUGAGCCUCUUCUGUCCAAAGCAUGGUCUCAUUUCAUAUUUUCAGGAGCCAUGAGAUACUUAGGGAAAAGGAAUCAGCCAGGUGUGAAGGCUGGUGGUGACAAGCAAAAGGUCAUCACCUAGGGACAACAGUAUUCAAUCAUCCUUUUUGUUGCUUCCCUCCCCCCACCCAACAUCUUGAGAUAGACACUAGAGGGUGGGGUAUAAGAAGAGAAACCGAGAAUGGAAGGUUCUAAGCACAAAAAGGGAGGAGCUAUGAGGUCAGCAUCCCUCCAGGCUGGACCUCCUGGAAAGCUCAGGCAGCAAUUCCUGGCAGCAGUGCGUGGUCUGAAGAUCUCUGCAGGGUGAUUUCUACAGCCUAUGUCACCGACUCUGACAGUGUAAUAGGAGGACAGUAAGACAGACCUUUCCGGCUGCCCAUUUUCACACCCCCUUUAUGAUUUUUGCAGUGAGCAUGUACCCUCUCUACCAUUCUUUAUCUUAAUUUUUUCUUUAAAUGACAUUUUGCUUUAAGAACUUUUUUCUUUAAAGGAAAUUUUAAUCAUUAUCUGUGAUUAAAAUGCCUAGUUUUAGAUUAGAUUCCUUCCCAGCGGCUCACCCUCUUUAGUCCUCUUGUCUCUCUAGGCAUUUGGGAGGAUAAUUUCCUGUACCUCCUGCCUCCUCCAUGAACUCUGUCUAGAGUUAAGUGGCACCUCAUGAUGAUUCUGGCUGGGAAGGAGAGAUGUGUGUCACUUCCCAGCCAGCCAGAGCAAUUAAUUACUACUGGGGAUCUUUCCAGUGCUGCUGCUUCUGACAAGGAGACUGCGUGUUCCAGGUGGAGAUGCUGGAUUCACCUUGACCCUGAAUUGCUAAGUCACCAGCUGAGAGCAGUUACUGUAGAGCUGUGGUUUUUCAAAGUGUGAUUCCCAAAUCAGCAGCAUCAGCAUUACCUGGAAACUUGUUACAGAUGCAAAUUCUCUGACCCCACCCAAGAGCUACUGAAUCAGGAACUCUGGGUGGGAAGGGGUAGCAAUCUGUGUUUGGGACAGAGGAUUCUGGUGAAAGCAAUGGCCUGGGUUUUCUAAGGCCUAUAGGGUUAUGUGGCCCCACAACAGACUUCGUAUGAGCAAGAAAAAAACUUUGUUGUAUUAAGCCAUUGAGAUAGUUAGAUUGUUUGUCACCAGGUUAUAACCUAGCUUAUCCUGACUGAUACACUAUCAGAAAUGAAAAACAAGUAUACUUUGCCAAAAAUAGAAGGUAACUGUAAAGUACAAACAUCAUCACAAUAGUUCUGUUGAAUUUGACAGUCAUCACCUGCUAAAGGCUUUCAGCCUGAGGUCUCCUCAAAUUUCGAUAAAAGAGGAGAUCAGCACAUUUUAAAAUGUGGUUGAGGAGAUGUUAGCAUUAACCUAAGACUUUUUCCUUGAAGAAGAACUGACUCAGAAUUGAAAAAGGAAUGCUGACUCCGCAAAUCAGUGCUAUUCAAUGACUCACCAUUUUACUGCCUGAAAUCAUCUCAGAUAUCACUAGUGUUAUUCGAGCUACCCUUUUGGGAAAAUUGAUCUGAUCAACCUCUUUGCCUUGUGUUUGUGGAAAGCUGUGGUCCAGAACUGUGAAUGUCCUUGUCCAUGGUUACACAGCAAAUUGGAAGUAGAACUCAGACAAGAACUCAGGUCUCCCACAAGCCCUUCUUUUCCCAACACCUGACAACCUUCAGUCUUUCAGCAGCCACACAACAUACAUCCCCAAUUCAGCUCAUGGUAUUACUGCAGGAACCCAGGCCCCUAACAUGAUACGGAGGGGGUUGCUGAAAGGAAUGUUCAGGCAUAGGAUCCUCAGAUCAGGAAACACAAAGGCAAAUCUAAAACCCACCCUGAUCUCAUUUGUGCAGAGAACCAUGGAAGUGGGUAAUUAAAGAAAACAUUAAGAAAAAGCUAGUAUAGUGAAGGAGAAACCAGGAGGCAGAGAAUGAAUUAGUUUCCUGUGGCUGCUGUAACAAAUUCCCAGAAACUUGGCGGCUUAUUCUCUUACCAUCUUAGAAAUCUGAAAUUACCACCACUUGGCCCAGUGAUGUUGGCAGGACCAGCUCAAGGGGAGAAACCCUUCCUUGCAUCUUCCAGCUUCUGGUGGCUGUGGGCAUUCCUUGACUGUGGCUGCUUCACUCCACUCUCUGCUUCUGUAAUCUCUAACUGCAUCUAUUUUUCAAGGAUCCUGGGAUAGCAUAUAAGGCCUGCCCAGACAAUCUAAAAUAACUUCCUAAUUCUCAAAUUCUUGGGAAUUUGAUGUCAGCAAAGACCAUUUUUCCAGAAAAGGUAACAUUUACAGGUUACAGAGACUAGGACAUGGCUAUCUUGGUGGGUGGGGUGGGAUGUGUGCAUUCUUCAGCCUACCAUGGAGACUCUAGUUCAAGGUCUACCGCCAACUCGGGCUGACCUCCUAGGCAACUCCAUUACCCUCUUUGAGCCCAGGUUUUCCUCUGGUAAAAUGAGAAGGUCUGCACCAGAUGAUGCCAGAGGGCUCUUCCAAGUUUGGCAGUAGGAGUUGUAGGUCUCAUCUAUGCCUCUAAAGGGCACAUAUAACCCAAAGUAAGAGGUUCUCAAGGAUUACUUCAUGGCAGACACUGGAGCAGAGCCCACAUCUUUUGGCUGGUAAUUCCUCGAUACACUCACCACCCUCCUCCUCUCCUUAUACCUGCCUCCACCCUCUCCUCCUUAUGCUGUCCACUCUCUGGUGGCCAGUGAAAAACUACUGUGACCAGCUUCAAGAGAUUUGAGAUGCCACAUCACAAUGAAGACUUCAGAGAACGUGCUGAAGUCUUGAAGUGUGCCAAGGAUCCCCAGUCCUCACCUUCUCCAAGGCCCUGGGCCAUUAUGAAAAUAAACGGAGAUCUUCUAAUUCAUAAAUCCUUUGGGGACAAAGAUAGGCUGAGACAAAAGGAACUGGUGAGACCUCCAGAGCCCCUAGAGUUGGGUUUUUGAAAAAAGUUUCUAAAGCCCUGUUUGACUCUUUCCUAGAACUGGAAUAGAGUAAUGUGAGCGCCCCCAGAGCCUUGACCUGUCUGGAUGACUGGCUGGGUGGAGGGUGAGAUAAGUGUAGAUGCCAAUCAUAUUAGCAAAAAUGAACACAUUUGUUAAUAUUGAGUGCUGGCAAAGGUUGGAAAAUGGGUACACCCAUUAAAUGCUGUGGGAAUGUACAUUUGUACAACCACUUUAAAGAGCAAUUUGGCAGCAUGUACUAAUAUUACAAGGUAUAUGAUCCUGUGAUUCAGUAAUCUCACUGCUGGCAUUGUCUGUGCUAGAAAAACACAAACAAUUGUACCAAGAUGUAUUCAUAAAGCUAUUUGUUGCCACAUUCCUGUCAAAUGCACUCCCUUCUCUGUUCAUUGCUGGGAACUAUAUUCCCAGGAUUUCUUGCCCUCUGGCUUCUGGGCAGAUUUGGCCAAUGGGAGGCAGUAGUGAAAAACUAGAGGGAGAAAAAGAGAAAUUAAGGUGUUUCUUCCCUUCUCUCCCAAGGCAUCUUUCACAGUCCUAGCUCCCACCACAGGGCCUGCUCUGACUUCUAUGCUCUGCCAACACCACUUCCUCCUAGGAGUGCCCUCCAGCUGUAGGAUGGUCACAUCUUCCUGUUGUUCCUCAUCUCUAAAUAGCCUCACCUUCCUACUUGGCUUCUCAAGCCUCUUAUCCCCUUGGUGACCAAUUCCCUGCAUUAAAUCCCCUCUGUUUGAAGUGCCUAAGGAGGUUUUCUGUUUUCCUGAUUAGAUCCUAACAUAUAACAGUGUUUGUUUCAGCAUUAUU
This is a non-coding RNA of Callithrix jacchus (white-tufted-ear marmoset), 8827 nucleotides long. Lineage: Eukaryota; Metazoa; Chordata; Mammalia; Primates; Cebidae. The record is from RefSeq and is a predicted model, not a curated record.